GGGAAGGUCGGUGAGGCGGCAGCUGGAAUACGGGGGGGGUAAGGGGUAAUCGUAAUUUCUGGGCGGAACGCGCGCGCGGGCGGCCUUGCAAGUCGGAUGGGAAAUCCCCGGGCGCAACCUGGGAACUGCAUUCGAAACUGGCAUGCUAGAGUCUGGGAGAGGGGGGUAGAAUUCCAGGUGUAGCGGUGAAAUGCGUAGAGAUCUGGAGGAAUACCGGUGGCGAAGGCGGCCCCCUGGACAAAGACUGACGCUCAGGUGCGAAAGCGUGGGGAACAAACAGGAUUAGAUACCCCUGUAGUC
This 300-nucleotide ribosomal RNA is filed under the name uncultured Armatimonas sp. Its description in RNAcentral is "partial 16S ribosomal RNA". It matches the Rfam family "Bacterial small subunit ribosomal RNA", at positions 495 to 795 of the family's 1533-position model. The record is from RNAcentral. Lineage: Bacteria; Bacillati; Armatimonadota; Armatimonadia; Armatimonadales; Armatimonadaceae.